RNAcentral lists this transfer RNA (64 nucleotides) under Prolachesilla sp. GRA2sp1LA. RNAcentral's name for it is "tRNA-Tyr". It matches the Rfam family "tRNA". From Rfam's summary of the family: Transfer RNA (tRNA) molecules are approximately 80 nucleotides in length. The record is from RNAcentral. Lineage: Eukaryota; Metazoa; Arthropoda; Insecta; Psocodea; Lachesillidae. RNAcentral also lists the same sequence under 1 other name.
AAUGAAAUGGCUGAUAAAAGUGAUAAAUUGUAAAUUUAUUAAUGAUAUUUUAUAUCUUUCAUUA